GCAUGCAAGUCAAACGGGAUGUAGCAAUACAUUCAGUGGCGAACGGGUGAGUAACGCGUGGAUGAUCUACCUAUGAGAUGGGGAUAACUAUUAGAAAUAGUAGCUAAUACCGAAUAAGGUCAGUUAAUUUGUUAAUUGAUGAAAGGAAGCCUUUAAAGCUUCGCUUGUAGAUGAGUCUGCGUCUUAUUAGCUAGUUGGUAGGGUAAAUGCCUACCAAGGCAAUGAUAAGUAACCGGCCUGAGAGGGUGAACGGUCACACUGGAACUGAGAUACGGUCCAGACUCCUACGGGAGGCAGCAGCUAAGAAUCUUCCGCAAUGGGCGAAAGCCUGACGGAGCGACACUGCGUGAAUGAAGAAGGUCGAAAGAUUGUAAAAUUCUUUUAUAAAUGAGGAAUAAGCUUUGUAGGAAAUGACAAAGUGAUGACGUUAAUUUAUGAAUAAGCCCCGGCUAAUUACGUGCCAGCAGCCGCGGUAAUACGUAAGGGGCGAGCGUUGUUCGGGAUUAUUGGGCGUAAAGGGUGAGUAGGCGGAUAUAUAAGUCUAUGCAUAAAAUACCACAGCUCAACUGUGGACCUAUGUUGGAAACUAUAUGUCUAGAGUCUGAUAGAGGAAGUUAGAAUUUCUGGUGUAA
RNAcentral lists this ribosomal RNA (632 nucleotides) under Borreliella burgdorferi (Lyme disease spirochete). RNAcentral describes it as "bacterial SSU rRNA". It matches the Rfam family "Bacterial small subunit ribosomal RNA", at positions 53 to 678 of the family's 1533-position model. The record is from RNAcentral. Lineage: Bacteria; Pseudomonadati; Spirochaetota; Spirochaetia; Spirochaetales; Borreliaceae.